AGUCAGACAAUCCUGCAAAUUUUUAAUAUUUAAUAUUAUUUAAUUUUAAUUAAUAUUUAAUCCAACCAGUUGGUGAGGUAGGGUUCAAACUCUGGGCUUGGAGUUAGGGGGACCUGCUCUUCCAGUGUGGAGCCAGACUCUCAGUACCUGUGUGACUCUGGAUGAGACAUGUAACUCUGGUUCCUCAUCUGUAAAAUGAGUGUAAUAAUAGCAUCUGCCUCCCAGGAUGGCUGUAAGGAUCAAAUGAGGUAAUGUGAAGUGCUUUGAACAAUGCCUAGCAUACACUAGGUGCUGUAUAAAUGCUUUGUUACUGGGGCCUACACCACGCAGUCAGUGCCAAGUGAUUUCCAAAGGCUAGAGGAAGGCUUCUGUGAGGAGGGAAGGCAUUUCAGGCAGGACAUGGGUUGUCCUAUAUGGGGAAUAGAGGCCACUGUGGCUGGAAUUCAAGUUAGUCCGACAUUUAUUAAGCACCUACCAGGUGCACUGGCUGGAAUUCAGGUUAGUCCGACAUUUAUUAAGCACCUACCAGGUGCACUGGCUGGAAUUCAGGUUAGUCCGACAUUUAUUAAGCACCUACCAGGUGCACUGGCUGGAAUUCAGGUUAGUCCGACAUUUAUUAAGCACCUACCAGGUGCACUGGCUGGAAUUCAGGUUAGUCCGACAUUUAUUAAGCACCUACCAGGUGCACUGGCUGGAAUUCAGGUUAGUCCAAUAUUUAUUAAGCACCUACCAGGUGCACUGGCUGGAAUUCAGGUUAGUCCAACAUUUAUUAAGCACCUACCAGGUGCACUGGCUGGAAUUCAGGUUAGUCCAACAUUUAUUAAGCACCUACCACGUGCACUGGGGAGUACACCCGUACAGCCCCUGGCCCCGAGGAGUUACACGCCCCUAGGAGAGGUUACAACAUGUAUAUAACAAGUGGAUGAGAAGAGGGACGCAGUCAUUUGGAGACAGAACCUGCACGCCUCCUAAUGAGGGGCCUCAGGUUGGGGGGCAGAGGGAGGAGGGGAGGGGGAGGCCUGGCUCUGCCCAGAGCAUAGGACUCUAAGAGGAGGACAGUCUUGGAAAGGGAAAUGGAAGGGCUUUUGACGCCAGGCUGAGGCAUUUGUAGUUUACUCUAGAAUUCGGGAGCUCCUACCCAUUGCUGGCGGGCCGGCACUCCCCGAGGGUGUUUGAGGGCACAUCCCCUAGGGCAGAGGGACAGAGGCAGGCUGGCAGAUGGCCUUGGCCCUGGGACCUCGGCACCGGGAGAGGGCGAUGUCCCUGGACAGGACGUGUCACUAAGGAGAGUCCCUGCUGGACUCAGAUUGCCAGCGUGAAAAGGAGAAAAAUCAUAAAAUAGUCCUAACACCACCCGUGUCUGUGUGUAUGUCCUCCUGCACCCGUGCCGAAGGCCUGCCCGUCUCGUGUCUCAGCUGCCAGGCAGAGGCAGGGGAGGCUCAGAUCCUGCCUCAGACCCUUCCAAGUCGAUCCAACAACUGGGGCCCUCAGUGCUGGGGAGGCAAAGAUACAAAGGGAAGCCAAGGCCCACCCGCACAGCGCCGACACAGAUGCCAACAGUUAAGUGAAUUCUGGGUCAUUUGCGGAGGAAGGAAGGAAGCACUAAUGGCCUGAAUCCUACAGCAGAUACUUAUUGAACCUCAGUCUCCUCUUCUGUGAAAUGGGAAGCAUAAUAGUACUUGACUCCCAGAGCCAUGUCAGCAAAGGGCAAAUAGGCCAGACUGGAAAAGAAAAAGACAUGAAGAGGGAAUAUGGGGAUAAAAGCCUGGUGGGGCAGGUUGGACAGCUUGUGGGCAGUGAAGGCUGAGCUGAGGUGUCUGUCCGGGGUCCUGGAGGGAACAGGGAGCCACAGAAGCUUCUUGAGCUGGGACAGCCUGGGCCUGGGAUGGACAGGAGGGGGGAGGAAGCCGGCGAGGAGGCUGCUCUGGCUCUGAGAUCCCCUGGGGCCUGACCUAGAGCAGUGAUCGCUGGGGCUGGCUGGGUGAUGACGGAUCCUCAUGUCCUUGUUUGUAAGAUUUUCGCUAGUGGACUCCUUAGAGGGUGGCCCUGAGGCUCCCAGGUGCCAGGUAAAGACUGCCCUCUCCUCCCCUGCCCACAGUGAAUCCUGAUCUGGAGGGGAUGCUGGGCUUCACCUUAGGGAAAUGGGCUCAGCCAGGCUUGAUGGCUGCCAGGGAUGCCCAGCUGUGCCCCAAGCAGGGCAGGAGACCCCUGGGAACGGGAACUGGCUGAUUCCCUUAGAGGCUCCUGAGAGAAACUCUCAGACAGUUCUGUGAGUGAGGACGCGGAUACUGUUCAUAGUCAAAUCCCCCGAGCCAGGCUUUUCCCAGAUGUCAGAUGGGCGUGAUGGGGAUCAAAGAUCACAGCUGGCUGAGCAUCCAGACGAUCUAGAUCCCGAGUGCCAGUUCUGAGCCCCGGGCACACGCAGACUGGCUAACGGGAACAAUCAGCCUGCUGCGCUUACACAGCACUCCACAUUUGUACCAAGGUCACCUCCUAAGAUCCCCACAACCACGAGGUGGGGGUGGAACGUGAGAGUGUUAUUAUCCCCACUUUACAGAUGAGGAAACUGAGACCCAGACAAGUCCAAUGACUCCCAGAGUCACACCAAGAGAAAGUGUGUGAGUCAGGAUUUGAACUCGGGGCUUCAUGCCUCUAAGUGGGGUACCCUGAGAGCUGUAACUCCAUCUGCCUUGUGAACGAUUGCUUUUCCUUCUCUGAGGGCUGCAAAUGACCUGGGAUUUACUUAUCUGUUUACAAGUGUGUAUCCUGCAACGAAGGUGAGGGGCUUUCUUUUCCCAUCCUUGUAUCCCCAGUC
Long non-coding RNA from Antechinus flavipes (yellow-footed antechinus), 2815 nucleotides. RefSeq lists it as uncharacterized. The record is from RefSeq and is a predicted model, not a curated record. NCBI's taxonomy places the organism in Eukaryota, Metazoa, Chordata, Mammalia, Dasyuromorphia, Dasyuridae. The transcript has 3 exons.